RNAcentral lists this non-coding RNA (30 nucleotides) under Rattus norvegicus (Norway rat). Lineage: Eukaryota; Metazoa; Chordata; Mammalia; Rodentia; Muridae. The record is from RNAcentral.
GAAUGACGGUUACUCAGACAGGUCAGAAGC